Drosophila gunungcola (fruit fly) is the source of this 794-nucleotide long non-coding RNA. RefSeq lists it as uncharacterized. Lineage: Eukaryota; Metazoa; Arthropoda; Insecta; Diptera; Drosophilidae. The record is from RefSeq and is a predicted model, not a curated record. The transcript has 4 exons.
GACGAACUGUCGGAUCGAUUCUCCUUGCGAUGAUUGUCAAGAAUAUAUAUUCUCAGGAAUCUACUCUUAUUAAUUUACCAUAUCUUUUCGGCAAAGAAGUAUACCAGAAUUAGAUUAUAACAUUAGACUCGAUCAGGUCUAUUUGAAACUGUUGGGCAUUAGAAGGAUGAACAUGAAAAAAGUAUUUGUGAUUUGCUGAGAUAUUGCAGAAAUGAGCUUGCUACUGAGAUACAUUGGUUCGUGGCUGGACACCAUUUAAUAGAAGUGUGAUACAUAGUCAAAUCUAUUCAAAUUUAACACAUAACGAAAAAUUGAGUUAAAUGCUAAUGUUAUUUUGCAUAUAUAUUGCGAGUCGCAAUGACCAAAUAUUUUAUCACCGUAGAAUGGUAUAGGAACGAGAAUGGUUUUGGCGAUUAGCAGCUUUAUAUCUACGGACAGGAAUAAUUUUGUAUCGGAAAGUUUACGUAGCGCGCCAUAUGUUCGCCGUGUAGCUGUUCUUAAGUGCUUGCUAUAAGAAAAUGUGUUACUAAAUGUAAUUCCCAAAUUUACUGCGUGUUCUAGGUGUAGAGUUGAAGUAAAAACAGUUCUUUUGACGAUGACAAUAUAAUUAGAUUUUGCCUAUUCCUAAGCUAUUCAAUUCCUUCCAUUUAUAUUUCAUGGAGGGAUUGUUGUUAAAUAGCUCAAAGAAGUUGGGUCGACUAAAAUCGAAUUUUCGAAAUUUGAAAAGCGGAAUCGUUUGCCCACUUUUUCCCACCAAUUAGUUUUUUUUUGCCCACCUCCAGUUUUGAAAACAU